GUUGAACGCUGGCGGAAUGCUUUACACAUGCAAGUCGAACGGUAGAGGGGGCAACCCCUCGAGAGUGGCGAACGGGUGAGUAAUAUAUCGGAACGUGCCCAGUCGUGGGGGAUAACGUAGCGAAAGUUACGCUAAUACCGCAUACGAUCUAAGGAUGAAAGCGGGGGAUCGCAAGACCUCGCGCGAUUGGAGCGGCCGAUAUCAGAUUAGGUAGUUGGUGGGGUAAAGGCUCACCAAGCCAACGAUCUGUAGCUGGUCUGAGAGGACGACCAGACACACUGGAACUGAGACACGGUCCAGACUCCUACGGGAGUCAGCAGUGGGGAAUUUUGGACAAUGGACGCAAGUCUGAUCCAGCCAUUCCGGGUGCAGGAUGAAGGCCCUCGGGUUGUAAACUGCUUUUGUACGGAACGAAAAGGUCUCUCUUAAUACGGGGGACUCAUGACGGUACCGUAAGAAUAAGCACCGGCUAACUACGUGCCAGCCGCCGCCGUAA
Molecule: ribosomal RNA, 496 nt
Filed under: uncultured bacterium
Lineage: Bacteria
Description: partial 16S ribosomal RNA
Rfam family: Bacterial small subunit ribosomal RNA
Source: RNAcentral